This is a non-coding RNA of Pelobates cultripes (western spadefoot toad), 424 nucleotides long. Lineage: Eukaryota; Metazoa; Chordata; Amphibia; Anura; Pelobatidae. The record is from the annotation of a GenBank genome assembly.
GGUAACCCAUGCCUACCAUGCCACCAGAAAGGGGGGACCUCCAAGAACACCAGAGUCCGCCAGAGCCAGCGUAUUGGGCAAGAGACAGCACCACCGAGAGCCCAAAUGGCCCAAAACCUGCUGCGGCAGGCAAAACCGUUGGAAGCCAGCGGAAAGGACACAGGGGGCCAGAUUGCACAAGCCAGUGGUAAAGGAGGCCCAGCAGGAACCCCCAUACAGUCCCAAGGGCAACCCCAAUAGGCAAAGCCCAGCGUACCCAAGAGAGACCACGGGUAGCGCAGACAAAACCCACAACGCCCCUCCAAACCACCGACGCCUCCUGCCUGACGCCCCAAAACCGCAGCCAGGGGCACCGACGUUCCCCUUACAGGAAUUGAUCCCACUAUCCAGGAGACAGGAGCACACAUCCCGACCCACGGAGAAG